This 408-nucleotide ribosomal RNA is filed under the name uncultured bacterium. RNAcentral's name for it is "partial 16S ribosomal RNA". It matches the Rfam family "Bacterial small subunit ribosomal RNA", at positions 28 to 526 of the family's 1533-position model. The record is from RNAcentral.
GACGAACGCUGGCGGCGUGCUUAACACAUGCAAGUCGAACGAAGUGGCGAACGGGUGAGUAACGCGUAAUCCACCUGCCCUUCAGAGGGGUACAACAGCUGGAACCGCCUCCUAAUACCGCAUACUGAAGGCGGGGGUUGCGUGUGCUUCGCUAGGUGGAGGGGUAACGGCCCACCAAGGCGAUGUUCAGUAGCCGGUCUGGGAGGAUGAACGGCCACAUUGGGACUGAGAAACGGCCCAGACUCCUAAGGGAGGCAGCAGUGGGGAAUGUUCCGAAAUGGACGAAAGUCUGACGGAGCAACGCCGCGUGAGGGAUGAAGGGCUUCGGGUUGUAAAGCUCUGUUAAUCGGGACGCGGUACCGGAAUAGAAAGCCACGGCUAACUACGUGCCAGCAGCCGCGGUAAUAC